AUUGAACGCUGGCGGCAGGCCUAACACAUGCAAGUCGAGCGGAGCGGCGGACGGGGGAGGAAUGCCUAGGAAGCUGCCUGGUAGUGGGGGAUAACGUCCGGAGACGGGCGACAAUACCGCAUACAAUAAAGUGAGCCUCGGUUGGAUUAGCUAGUUGGUGGGGUAAAGGCCUACCAAGGCGACGAUCCGUAACUGGUCUGAGAGGAUGAUCAGUCACACUGGAACUGAGACACGGUCCAGACUCCUACGGGAGGCAGCAGUAGGGAAUCUUGGGCAAUGGGCGAAAGUCUGAUCCAGCAACGCCGCGUGUGUGAAGAAGGUUUUCGGAUUGUAAAGCACUUUUGGUAGGGAAGCGUUACCAACAGAGUAAGCAACGGCUAACUUCGUGCCAGCAGCCGCGGUAAUUC
This 407-nucleotide ribosomal RNA is filed under the name uncultured bacterium. RNAcentral describes it as "partial 16S ribosomal RNA". It matches the Rfam family "Bacterial small subunit ribosomal RNA", at positions 30 to 526 of the family's 1533-position model. The record is from RNAcentral.